Molecule: non-coding RNA, 647 nt
Organism: Erythranthe guttata (spotted monkey flower)
Lineage: Eukaryota; Viridiplantae; Streptophyta; Magnoliopsida; Lamiales; Phrymaceae
Source: RefSeq, a predicted model, not a curated record
AUGAACAAAAAUUUGCACGCCGAAAUUUGGUGUGAAAUUCAGCCUGCUCGCCGGAAAGGGAAAUAAAAAUUGCUACCGCAUCUGUUUUCGGAGCCAAAAUCGAAGGGUUUGGAGUGUGAAUUUGGGAAUCAUUCCUUCUCGAAACUCGUAGAGGACCUCGAAAACUGUGAGUGUGUCAUUCGUGGUUGUGUACCUAAGAAAAUUUUGGUCUAUGAUGUUGCUUUUGGUGCUAACUCGAGCUAUGUUGGCGAAAUUCUGAGAAAUAGUAAACCUUCUGCCGCACCUGUUUUCGGAGCCGAAAUUGAAGGGUUUGGAGUGAGAUUUUCGAAUCAGUCUCUUCACAAAAGUCGUCGAGGACCGUGAUAAUUAUAUGUGUUGAGUAUAUUUAUGCUCUCAUUAAAGACUUGAGUAUGACUCCAAAGUAAGGUGUUUUUAUAGCACUUGCAUUGGACUUCAGGUUGGGUUGGACUGUUUGAUGAAGUGAAAGAACGUUAUCGUGGAAGUCAUAUUUGUUGUCGCUUAACAAUUUAUGAAGUGGAAUUUAUUAUGAAAUAAUUAUAGUAAUCUUUCUUAUUAUUUGAAAUGAUUGAUUUAUUAUUGUAUGUAGUAUGAUAGAUUGAAAUGUAAUAUUCAUAUUUGAUUGAUAA